RNAcentral lists this ribosomal RNA (222 nucleotides) under uncultured bacterium. RNAcentral describes it as "partial 16S ribosomal RNA". It matches the Rfam family "Bacterial small subunit ribosomal RNA", at positions 107 to 334 of the family's 1533-position model. The record is from RNAcentral.
UGAGUAACACGUAUCCAACCUGCCGUCUACUCUUGACAGCCUUCUGAAAGGAAGAUUAAUACAAGAUGGCAUCAUGAGUCCGCAUGUUCACAUGAUUAAAGGUAUUCCGGUAGACGAUGGGGAUGCGUUCCAUUAGAUAGUAGGCGGGGUAACGGCCCACCAGCUCGAUGGAUAGGGGUUCUGAGAGGAAGGUCCCCCACAUUGGAACUGAGACACGGCCAA